Molecule: long non-coding RNA, 904 nt
Organism: Zalophus californianus (California sea lion)
Lineage: Eukaryota; Metazoa; Chordata; Mammalia; Carnivora; Otariidae
Exons: 5
Source: RefSeq, a predicted model, not a curated record
UGCAACGCUGGGCAGAGGCUGCCACAUCCCUCGGGAAUCCCACUGAGGGAACCCGAAAGGCACUGGGGUACUCGGGCUUCCCGCACCGCCAAGCCUGCUCUCCUCGUGACGCCUGGUCCGACCAGGUCGUUUGCGUCGCGCCAGGCCCUCCACCCGAAGGGACGGGGCGCUGGAGGGGUCCCACAAGGAGAAGAAGGGCAGGCAGCGGCAUCCCACUGCCAGAAGGCGCGAGCAGCGCUCUCGCUGGCCUGUCUCACCUUCCCCUCGGCUCCGAACAAGAAGACAUUUCGCUAAUACAAAUCCUGGGAAAUAAGAAGAUGAAAGCAUCAUAUCAAAAAGCUGUGAGAAAGUGACCAUAUGACUUUAACCCUAUGUGGAUUAAGCUACUUCCUCACCACUCUUGGACCACAGGAGACAUAUAAUUACACUGGACCUUCAAGGCUAUGCCAAACCCACCUGCCAGCAUCGCCAUCCUUUCCAUACAGUGGCUGCCAGGAACUCCACAGAGAAGUUGAGCAACUCGCCCCUCUAACUCUGAGGUAUCCUAAGUCGAUCUGGAUUUUCUAUUUCCCACCAAUUCCCAGCAGGAUAUUAGUGCAGAAGAGACCACAGUAUAUUCUCAGUACACUCUUUUAAUGAAGCAAACAUGUUACCAACAGGCCGAAGUAUCCUCAGUUUCUCUGCAACAAGAAGCCAAAACAGUGCAGUUUAUCUUAGGUGCCAUCAAAUGGGGAAAUAGCGGAAGCAGGUCCUUGGAUUCUGGCAGAAGAUUUAGGAGAACCAGCUAAGUAUGAUCACAGUGGGCCUGCAGGCUCCAGCCUGACCUUUUGGAUCUGAUUUUGAUAAAACUGAGUCAUUUUACAGGUUGAAUAUUUCCUUACUCCCUAAGCCUUUAGUAUGCCAA